CCUACGGGAGGCAGCAGUGGGGAAUAUUGGGCAAUGGGCGCAAGGCUGACCCAGCAACGCCGCGUGAAGGAAGAAGGCUUUCGGGUUGUAAACUUCUUUUCUCAGGGACGAAGAAAGUGACGGUACCUGAGGAAUAAGCCACGGCUAACUACGUGCCAGCAGCCGCGGUAAUACGUAGGUGGCAAGCGUUAUCCGGAUUUAUUUGGGGUAAAGGGCGUGUAGGCGGGAGAGAAAGUCAGAUGUGAAAACUCAGGGCUCAACCCUGAGCCUGCAUUUGAAACUGUGUUUCUUGAGUGCUGGGGAGGCAAUCGGAAUUCCGUGUGUAGCGGUGAAAUGCGUAGAUAUACGGAGGAACACCAGUGGCGAAGGCGGAUUGCUGGACAGUAACUGACGCUGAGGCGCGAAAGCGUGGGGAGCAAACAGGAUUAGAUACCCCUGUAGUC
RNAcentral lists this ribosomal RNA (443 nucleotides) under uncultured bacterium. Its description in RNAcentral is "partial 16S ribosomal RNA". It matches the Rfam family "Bacterial small subunit ribosomal RNA", at positions 338 to 795 of the family's 1533-position model. The record is from RNAcentral.